CGUAGGAGGCAAGCGUUAUCCGGAUUCACUGGGCGUAAAGCGCGUGCAGGUGGCUCGGUAAGUUGGGCGUGAAAUCUCCCGGCUCAACUGGGAGAGGUCGUUCAAUACUACCGAGCUAGAGAGCAGAAGAGGAAGAUGGAAUUCCCGGUGUAGUGGUGAAAUGCGUAGAUAUCGGGAGGAACACCAGUGGCGAAGGCGAUCUUCUGGUCUGUUUCUGACACUCAGACGCGACAGCUAGGGUAGUAAACGGGAUUAGAGACCCCGGUAAUCCUAGCCGUAAACGAUGUGAACUUGGCGUUGGUGGGUUAAACUCCGUCAGUGCCGAAGCAAACGCGAUAAGUUCACCGCCUGGGGACUACGGCCGCAAGGUUA
This 372-nucleotide ribosomal RNA is filed under the name uncultured organism. RNAcentral's name for it is "bacterial SSU rRNA". It matches the Rfam family "Bacterial small subunit ribosomal RNA", at positions 526 to 896 of the family's 1533-position model. The record is from RNAcentral.